Delphinapterus leucas (beluga whale) is the source of this 2177-nucleotide non-coding RNA. The record is from RefSeq and is a predicted model, not a curated record. NCBI's taxonomy places the organism in Eukaryota, Metazoa, Chordata, Mammalia, Artiodactyla, Monodontidae.
GGCCGCGAACGCGCGUGGGGGAGGCACUCAGCAAAGUGGCGAGUCGGGGUGGCCGGGUCCUGGGCGCCGCUCCCCCGAACGCGGUCGGGGUCGGGUGCCCUCGCUGGGUAGGGGAGGGUCCCUGGGCGCUCGGAUGCCUGCCGCACGGGCUUGGUGCAGGAUGGUGAGAGGCCGCCGCUGUGCCCUGGGGGUCCGGCCGCGACCCGGCAUUUUAGUAGGGUCGUUGACUUGAAUGGACUACACUCUGCUUCACGUGGAUUCGAAGAAACUGGAAGGGAUAUUCAGGAAGCAUUUGCCUUCUGUCCUAACCUCCAGCCUUCGUUCACAGAGAUUCUUCUUGGUUUAAUUUCCUUUCUGCUACCAGCCCCCGUUUUAUUGCUUGCAGUGUUUUAAGGUAGAUUCCGGUGCCGAGCGACGAGGGAGGUGUGUAGCCAUGGCGACCCACAGCAUCCCACUUCUGAACCUGAGGUCCCCCUGCCCCGUGCACCGGUGAUGGGGCCUCGCGCACACAGGGUGCGGAGCAGGGGUCGGAGGCAAGAAUCUGACCACGUGGUGCUGCGGACACUGACCCCGGGUCAGCUGACCCCAGCAUGGGUGGCCCCGGAGAAAAAGGCUAGAAAAAGGGAGAAUCAAAGUGCAUCUCUUCAUCAACUUAUUUUUAGUUGCGUUAUGUAAGUGGUUUCAUUUCAACGUCACGUAGGGAGGGGGGGUCUCAGAUUUAAUUACAGGAUGACAGCCUCUGCUUUUCAAGCAAGCUGUUCUCCUGGCAAGGCAGGCACAAGGAUUUGUGAAUUUUUGCUAAACAGAAGGAGCCCUUUCUGAGGUGACCGCAAAACUUUGAAGGGUUUUCACCACCAUCUCUCUCUCUGACCAGCCCAACCCGGUUUCUGCUGAGCUUGGCCUAAGGGGGUGGCGAUGUGUCUCAGAUCACAGGGAAAUUUCGUGCCUGUCAAGGGAGCUGUUUCUCCACCACCCCCCUCCUCCUGGCAGCCUCCCUGUCUCUCUAAGAGAAGAAUCCACCCAAUCAGAACUCCUCUUCCUUUUCUCCUUCCUGGAUUAGAGCACUUGUAAUCAGUAACCAGAAAGUUCCAGAGCAGAAGAGAGCGGAGGCAUGGGCACUGUCUCAUCUUCCCCAUCCUCUCUGGCCACUGCUGCCUCUUCCUUCCACGCCAGGUGCUCUGGGCGACCGGCCCGGGCAGGGUCACUGGGCAGAACUGUCCGACUUGUGUCCAGAGUACUGUCUUUUUGGUCCUCGGCCCACAUUCUUCACACUGUCGGCGUUGUCAGCAAGAGGGCAUGGGGGUGCCUGGAGCCAGAAGCUCCGGGGUGGGCGGAGGCCUGUGUCCUGCUGUCAGGAAGGUAACCUCAGCGGCUUCUAGCACACUGUGGCUUUGUCCAGCAUGAGGCAGGGCCAUGUUGCCUGCCACAGGGCGAAGCCUGGCGUCUACCUGGGGCUGCUGCUGAUGGCAUGACCACCAACUUGGGGAGCCAGUACCCGGGGCCAGUUGCUGGGACAGCAGCAGUGUGACGGCCAUGGGGGCCUGGGUAGAUUCUAGGCGGGCAAGGUACCUGAGCAGGGUGUUGGGAGAGCCGAGGUGUAGGUGGCAGAAAAAGAACCGAGAACUGUGCCCGGCACAUGGCGAGCCCUCAGUGUGUCUUAGAGAUUGUCAUCGUCAGUGGUUAGACAGGACCUUCCAGAGAGCACCCGAGUGCCCGUGGGAAAGCACGUGAGAAGCUGCCCUUUACAGCGGCUGCUCCAGGAGACCCCCAGCUUCGGUGUGGGCUGCGCAGCGACUUCCAGAGAGCACAGGUGCCAGGAAGACGUUGACAAGCAUACCUCAGCCAGGCCAGCCAGGCCACAUGUGCAGGGUGAGCCACGGGGACCGUACGUGGCCUUGACGUGCUGAGAAAGGCACUUCGCUGUACUCUUCCUCCCCAAACCUAUCACCCCAGGCUUAUCAUGAGAGGAACAUCACCAAUCCCAGCAGAGGGACAGUCUGCAGAUCCCUGCCCAGCACAUCAUCUGAGCCAGGGAAGCCUGAGACUGUCCUGGCCAAGAGGAGCCCGAGAAGACAUGAUGACUAAAUGUCACCUGGGGUCCGGGACGGGUCCUGAAGCAGUAGAAAGACACGAGGUAAAAACUAAGAAAACCUGAAUAAAGUCCAGACUCUAGUUAA